This 466-nucleotide ribosomal RNA is filed under the name uncultured bacterium. RNAcentral's name for it is "partial 16S ribosomal RNA". It matches the Rfam family "Bacterial small subunit ribosomal RNA", at positions 28 to 507 of the family's 1533-position model. The record is from RNAcentral.
GAUGAACGCUGGCGGCGUGCUUAACACAUGCAAGUCGAACGAUGAAGCCCAGCUUGCUGGGUGGAUUAGUGGCGAACGGGUGAGUAACACGUGAGUAACCUGCCCUUAACUCUGGGAUAAGCCUGGGAAACUGGGUCUAAUACCGGAUAGGAGCGUCCACCGCAUGGUGGGUGUUGGAAAGAUUUAUCGGUUUUGGAUGGACUCGCGGCCUAUCAGCUUGUUGGUGAGGUAAUGGCUCACCAAGGCGACGACGGGUAGCCGGCCUGAGAGGGUGACCGGCCACACUGGGACCGAGACACGGCCCAGACUCCUACGGGAGGCAGCAGUGGGGAAUAUUGCACAAUGGGCGCAAGCCUGAUGCAGCGACGCCGCGUGAGGGAUGACGGCCUUCGGGUUGUAAACCUCUUUCAGUAGGGAAGAAGCGAAAGUGACGGUACCUGCAGAAGAAGCACCGGCUAACUACAUG